UAGUGGAUGCCUUGGCAUUGAGAGGCGAUGAAGGACGUGAUAGACUGCGAUAAGCUGCGGGGAAGAGUCAAUAUCUGUUGAUCCGUAGAUUUCCGAAUGGGGAAACCCACUUGAGAUAACUCAAGUAUCUUUAUCUGAAUUCAUAGGAUAAAUGAAGCGAACGCGGGGAACUGAAACAUCUAAGUACCCGUAGGAAAAGAAAUCAACCGAGAUUCCCUUAGUAGCGGCGAGCGAACGGGGACCAGCCCUUA
Molecule: ribosomal RNA, 251 nt
Filed under: Alexandrium tamarense
Lineage: Eukaryota; Dinophyceae; Gonyaulacales; Pyrocystaceae
Description: partial Bacterial large subunit ribosomal RNA
Rfam family: Bacterial large subunit ribosomal RNA
Source: RNAcentral